Molecule: ribosomal RNA, 253 nt
Filed under: uncultured bacterium
Lineage: Bacteria
Description: partial 16S ribosomal RNA
Rfam family: Bacterial small subunit ribosomal RNA
Source: RNAcentral
UACGUAGGGUGCGAGCGUUAAUCGGAAUUACUGGGCGUAAAGUGUGCGCAGGCGGCCGCGCAAGUCGAGUGUGAAAGCCCCGAGCUUAACUUGGGAAUUGCGCUCGAAACUACGUGGCUGGAGUGUGGCAGAGGAAGGUGGAAUUCCAGGUGUAGCGGUGAAAUGCGUAGAUAUCUGCAGGAACACCCGUGGCGAAAGCGGCGCGCUGGACCACUACUGACGCUGAGGAACGAAAGCUAGGGGAGCAAACAGG